GGAUGGGUGCUAUGCGGCGAAUGGUUGUGAACCAUGUCAGGCGGGGAACCGAGCAGCAUUAAGCAAUACGUUUCGUGCGAUUUAGUUAAUUCGUUCGGC
This 99-nucleotide signal recognition particle RNA is filed under the name Clostridia bacterium. Its description in RNAcentral is "signal recognition particle sRNA small type". It matches the Rfam family "Bacterial small signal recognition particle RNA". Rfam says of the family: The signal recognition particle (SRP) is a universally conserved ribonucleoprotein involved in the co-translational targeting of proteins to membranes. The record is from RNAcentral. Lineage: Bacteria; Bacillati; Bacillota; Clostridia.